Long non-coding RNA from Prionailurus viverrinus (fishing cat), 691 nucleotides. RefSeq lists it as uncharacterized. The transcript has 3 exons. NCBI's taxonomy places the organism in Eukaryota, Metazoa, Chordata, Mammalia, Carnivora, Felidae. The record is from RefSeq and is a predicted model, not a curated record.
AUUCUCUCCUCGCGUAACAAUUGUUUCUUCAGGCUGAGGUAAUGGAUUCGUUUCCUUGAGCUCACCAGAAAGGACGAGGUUUCGACAAGGACUUCCUGGCAUUUAUUCCUCUGACAUCUGGCAUACCACUGGCAGCAAUCAAGACAUACAACCUUGUCAUUUGGGAGAUUUGUUCGCCCAAAGGAAGACUUGAUGGUACUCACCGGUUAGAGCUUCAAAGGGCAUCUCCUCGAUACGUAAUAAAUGCUGGCUCUCCACCGUCAGUCCGUCCUCAGUAUGCAGGUGCGGCUGCUAUGGCUGCGCACAUCGUUAAGUGCUGCACACUCCACCUUCCCGCUGGACCACCCACCGGAGGUUAGCAUCGGGAGUCUCCAAGUCUUUUUUUUUUUUUAUCAUUAAACUAAGACUGUCAUACGUAAAUGUUUGUGUCACCCGCCAAAUUCAUAUGGUGAAACCUAAUCUCCAAUUGAUGGUAUUUGGAGGUAAAGCCUCUGGGAAGUGAUUAGGUCAUGAAGUCCUCAUGAAUGGAAGGAGCACUCUUAUAAAAGAAACUUCAGAGAACUCUCUGGCCCUUCUGCCAUGUAAGGAUACACGGAGAAGACUGCUGUGUGUGAAUCUUCACCAGACAUGGAAUCUAGUGAUCCAUGGUGAUCUUCCACUUCCCCACCUCUGAAACUGUGAGAAAUAAAUU